This 219-nucleotide long non-coding RNA is filed under the name Chinchilla lanigera (long-tailed chinchilla). RNAcentral describes it as "lncRNA (ENSCLAG00000026430.1)". Lineage: Eukaryota; Metazoa; Chordata; Mammalia; Rodentia; Chinchillidae. The record is from RNAcentral.
GGCUAUUGUUAUUAUGAUCCCAAAAAUAAGACUCAGGACCACAGCCCUAGCACCCGGAUGACUACUGCAUGCUGGUAUUCCUCAUCCCUAGUCUGGAGUCUGCACUGCCCAAGAGAGCUUGUAUAGCUCAUCAACCUGACAGGUUACAUUUUCAUCACCCUAUUCUCAACGCCAAAAAAGAAUAUUGAGAUGGAUUCAUGUGAUGGCUUUGGAACACUG